RNAcentral lists this small RNA (117 nucleotides) under Marmota monax (woodchuck). The record is from RNAcentral. Lineage: Eukaryota; Metazoa; Chordata; Mammalia; Rodentia; Sciuridae.
GCCAGGUGCAGUGGCAUAUGCCUGUAAUCCCAGCUGCAUGGGAGGCUGAGGCAGGAGGAUCAUUUUGAGCCCAGGUGUUAAGGCCAGAGUGUGCAAUAUAGUGAGACCCUGUCUCAA